GAUGAACGCUGGCGGCGUGCCUAAUACAUGCAAGUCGAGCGAACAGAUGAGGAGCUUGCUCCUCUGACGUUAGCGGCGGACGGGUGAGUAACACGUGGAUAACCUACCUAUAAGACUGGGAUAACUUCGGGAAACCGGAGCUAAUACCGGAUAACAUAUUGAACCGCAUGGUUCAAUAGUGAAAGACGGUUUUGCUGUCACUUAUAGAUGGAUCCGCGCCGCAUUAGCUAGUUGGUAAGGUAACGGCUUACCAAGGCAACGAUGCGUAGCCGACCUGAGAGGGUGAUCGGCCACACUGGAACUGAGACACGGUCCAGACUCCUACGGGAGGCAGCAGUAGGGAAUCUUCCGCAAUGGGCGAAAGCCUGACGGAGCAACGCCGCGUGAGUGAAGAAGGUCUUCGGAUCGUAAAACUCUGUUAUUAGGGAAGAACAAAUGUGUAAGUAACUAUGCACGUCUUGACGGUACCUAAUCAGAAAGCCACGGCUAACUACGUG
This 497-nucleotide ribosomal RNA is filed under the name uncultured bacterium. RNAcentral's name for it is "partial 16S ribosomal RNA". It matches the Rfam family "Bacterial small subunit ribosomal RNA", at positions 28 to 507 of the family's 1533-position model. The record is from RNAcentral.